UACGGAGGGUGCGAGCGUUGUCCGGAAUCACUGGGCGUAAAGGGCGCGUAGGCGGUCUGUUAAGCGUGUGGUGAAAGCUCGGGGCUCAACCCCGAGUCUGCCAUGCGAACUGGUGGACUUGAGCACUGUAGAGGCAGGUGGAAUUCCGGGUGUAGCGGUGGAAUGCGUAGAGAUCCGGAAGAACACCGGUGGCGAAGGCGGCCUGCUGGGCAGUUGCUGACGCUGAGGCGCGACAGCGUGGGGAGCGAACAGG
RNAcentral lists this ribosomal RNA (253 nucleotides) under uncultured bacterium. RNAcentral's name for it is "partial 16S ribosomal RNA". It matches the Rfam family "Bacterial small subunit ribosomal RNA", at positions 524 to 776 of the family's 1533-position model. The record is from RNAcentral.